This 622-nucleotide long non-coding RNA is filed under the name Marmota monax (woodchuck). The stretch from base 500 to 568 matches the Rfam family "tRNA". Lineage: Eukaryota; Metazoa; Chordata; Mammalia; Rodentia; Sciuridae. The record is from RNAcentral.
UUUGGGUUUGGGGGUUGGGGGUCUGUGGCCAGCACCUGGAGAGGAUUUAUCUUGGAAGAGAUUAGUGUUUCCCAGAGAAGAUGAUUCUAGGUUUGAUGAAACACCUUCUCCCCACCAGUGGCCAGCAACUGAAAAGGAUUUAUCUUGAAAGAGACGAAAGCUAUCAAUAUGUGGAUUUCUUUUUCACUCCCUUUUCCCAGGCUACACUAUUUUGGGGUUUUUCAUUUUCCAUAUCCAACAGGGACGGCUGAUUGAUGACCACAUCAAACGUCAGGCACAGGGAGUGAGAGAGUGUUGGUCUAAUCAUGCACCACUAUUGAGACCUUGAAACCUAGGCUGGUCUGAACUGAGAUCUACUCCACAUGUGAAUACAUACACUCAGUUACUAAGAUUUGGUUCAAAAAGAAGAAUAUAAAAUGCUUCAUCGAUAAUCUCUAAUAGUGACUAUGUUGAAAUCAUUUGGAUAUAUUGUGUUAAAUAAAAUAAUUGUUGAAGGGCUGGGGUUGUGGCUCAGUGGUAGAGCCCUCGCCUAGCAUGCAGGAGGCACUGGGUUCGAUCCUCGGCACCAUAUAAAUGUAAAAUAAAGAUAUUGUGUCCACCUAAAACUUAAGAAUAAAUAUUA